RNAcentral lists this ribosomal RNA (465 nucleotides) under uncultured bacterium. RNAcentral describes it as "partial 16S ribosomal RNA". It matches the Rfam family "Bacterial small subunit ribosomal RNA", at positions 28 to 507 of the family's 1533-position model. The record is from RNAcentral.
GAUGAACGCUGGCGGCGUGCCUAACACAUGCAAGUCGAACGGAAAGGCUCCUGCUUGCCGGGGUACUCGAGUGGCGAACGCGGGAGUAUCACGCGUGUGUACCGCCCUGCACUUCGGGAGAAGACUGGGAAACUGGGUCUAUAAUCGGAUAGGACGAUGGUUAGGAUGUGAUUGUGGAAAGAUUUUCGGUGUGGGAUGAGCUGGCGGCCUAUCAGCGUGUUGGUGGGGUAAUGGCCUACUAAGGCGUCGACGGGUAGCCGGCCUGGGAGGGUGUACGGCCACAUUGGGCCUACGGUACGGCCCAGACGGCAACGUGAGGCAGCGGUGGAAAGUAUUACGCAAUGGGCCCAAGCCUGAUACAAAGGCGUCGGGUGGGGAAUGACGGCCUUCGGGGUAUAAACACCUUUCGAUGGGGACGAAGCGCAAGUGACGGUACCUGAAGAAAAAGCACCGGCUAACUACGUG